Suricata suricatta (meerkat) is the source of this 782-nucleotide long non-coding RNA. RefSeq lists it as uncharacterized. The record is from RefSeq and is a predicted model, not a curated record. Lineage: Eukaryota; Metazoa; Chordata; Mammalia; Carnivora; Herpestidae. The transcript has 3 exons.
CCUUGUAUCUGCAGGGGGAGUUCAUUAUGCCUUUUCUGAAUCACUAAGAAAACAAAGAGAGCUUCUCUCUCUCUCUUAAAGAGAUAUAAAAUGGGAAGAACCUGUAUCUUCAUUUCCAUUUGACACAGAAGGGUUCAUCCAGGCUACUGACAAGGCAGUUGAUUGUAAGAUCCAAAGGCAUUUUUCUUCAUAGGUGGAGUUCAACCACAGAAGUCCCAACUCUUGGAGAUGGAAGAUGCUAGAAGCCAGAGAGGUAAAGAAAUGCUCAUGCCUGAUGCCUUCAACCAUCUAGGAGUACCCACCUGCUUUCCCAGAAAGACCUUAGGAAAAGAACAAAAGGUCACAGAGCAGGGUCUCAGCUCCAGCCUGUGUUAUGUUUGUUCCAUGAUUCAGCCUUGGCACAUCUGGAGGACUACAGAGAAGGAGUGUCAGGGACUGUCUACAAGAAGAACCAAGGAGCAUCUCAGGAUGGGCCUCAUCCUAAGGCAAAGACCAUGGAAAUAGGCUUGGAAUGAUUCAGAGCAGCCACUUGCAAUAAGGUUAUGUCCCAACUGAAUGCACAAGGUGUGAGCAACGCUGAUUCCAACCGAUCAACACAUUGGGACAUAUCACAGGCACCAGGAGAGAACCUGAGCGCUUGUCAUGACCUUUCACCCUGGUCAAGAUACCACGACCUUUCCUUGGAUUUCUGAGGUAGCCUCCUAACUGGUAUCCCUGCUUCUGCCCUUGGCCAUCUACUCUACACCCCACACAGUAACCAUAGUGAGUUUAUUAAAACAAAA